UUCGGGAAGUGCAUAAAGUGGCGCACGGGUGAGUAACACGUAAGUAAUCUACCCUCGAGUGGGGAAUAACGUUCGGAAACGAACGCUAAUACCGCAUAAUGCAGCGGCAUCGCAAGAUGACAGUUGUUAAAGGAGUAAUUCGCUUGAGGAGGAGCUUGCGGCAGAUUAGCUAGUUGGUAAGGUAACGGCUUACCAAGGCUACGAUCUGUAUCCGGUCUAAGAGGACGGUCGGACACACUGACACUGAAUAACGGGUCAGACUCCUACGGGAGGCAGCAGUCGGGAAUUUUGGGCAAUGGGCGAAAGCCUGACCCAGCAACGCCGCGUGAAGGAUGAAGUAUUUCGGUAUGUAAACUUCGAAAGAAUGGGAAGAAUAAAUGACGGUACCAUUUAUAAGCUCCGGCUAACUACGUGCCAUCAGCCGCGGUAAUACGUAGGGAGGCAAGCGUUGUUCGGAUUUACUGGGCGUAAAGGGCGCGUAGGCGGCGCGGUAAGUCACUUGUGAAAUCUCUGAGCUUACCUCAGAACGGG
RNAcentral lists this ribosomal RNA (531 nucleotides) under uncultured bacterium. Its description in RNAcentral is "bacterial SSU rRNA". It matches the Rfam family "Bacterial small subunit ribosomal RNA", at positions 78 to 623 of the family's 1533-position model. The record is from RNAcentral.